This 258-nucleotide long non-coding RNA is filed under the name Mytilus galloprovincialis (Mediterranean mussel). The record is from RNAcentral. Lineage: Eukaryota; Metazoa; Mollusca; Bivalvia; Mytilida; Mytilidae.
AAAAUACUGCAAAUCAUCCAAAUUGCUUUUAUAAUUGCUUGAAAAGUUGUCUGAGAAAUUUGAAUUCGACUCUUAUGUAACGAACAUUUACCUACAUUGGAACGUCAGGGUUGUCCUGAUGAGUUUUACUUUUCCUCGAAAAGCUAUGAAGCGCUUAAACGAUGAAGAGCUCAUUUCCUCGACAACUUGUAGAUAUAUAACUCUCGUGACCAUGCAAGUAAAGAUGGAUGCCCAACGUUUUGCAUUUGCGACACCACC